RNAcentral lists this long non-coding RNA (1866 nucleotides) under Homo sapiens (human). RNAcentral describes it as "non-protein coding lnc-FUBP1-2:7". Lineage: Eukaryota; Metazoa; Chordata; Mammalia; Primates; Hominidae. The record is from RNAcentral.
AGUUCUGAUAUUUUGUUGAAAUCCAUUGUUUUACUCUUUGCAUAUUUGUUGGCUCUUUGCAUAUUAAUAUAUUAGACUACAUGCAAAUACAGUCUGUCUUGCCAUUGUCUGUUGAAGUGCAGGUUUGAUCCAGCCAGUAUAGAACUAGCUCUGUAGGGGUGAGGAGGACUGUGCUGUGUAUCAUCCUUGAUUGUGUUCCUUCAAGGAGCAUUGCACUGUAAGUACAUCAGAAUGACAAAUUGAUGAACUGCAACAGUAUCUUUUUGUCAAUGUUCCACAUAAUGCAAAUGCCAUACGUUGUGUGAAUAUUAUGUUGGAAUACAGUGCUGAUAUCUUGGAAAACCAUAACUGCCUCUUAAUUUAACAUAGAAUAAUACAUAGUUCUGUAUUUUUUUUAAAGUGAGCUUAAUGGGUAAGUAUUUUUUAUAUGCUUUAGCUAUAGCUAAAGAAAACUGAUACUUAACAAAGUUGAAUAGUAUUAUUCACUGGUGCUCCUAAAAUAUUGUUUUUCAGUGUAAAAUAUGCAUAUCUUCUAUAUUUAAUAUGAAAGUCUUGAAAUGUAUCAGACAGAAGGGGAUUUCAGUUUGCAAAUAAUGAGCAAUGUAGCAAUUUUAACACAUUUCAUAAAUAUAUAUUUUGUCAUUGGUGGAGAGCACCAUUUGUUGUUUUGAAUAUACUUUAAAGGAAGAGGUACAAGGACAUAAAUGUUGAGAUUACCUACAGGAUGGAAAUAGCAGUACAGUUCAUUGUAGAUAUUUUGAAAUGUUUUUGAUUGUUUUAUAUAACCUAGAGUGACUUCCCUUACCCUUAUUUAGAUCUGCAUAUAUAGUUCUAGUAUGAAGUUUAAUAGUUAAGGAGUUAGCUAUUUGUUAUCUUUAAGAGUAGGGUAUUGACGUGAACAAUUGCAGUAUUUUGCAUGAUACUGUUUUAUAGAUGACCUUUUAGGAAAGUGGUGCAUUUAUUAAUUGAACUGAAGAAGUAGUUCAGUUGAAUUCAGUAUCAUAAUUCACAAAUUGGAGGCUGUUGAUUUUGAUUCAUUUAAGGUUUAAAAUCUUUAUUAAUUGCAAACAGUGCAAUUAUUUAUACUUCACAGUGCCUUCCCAGACCUUCCACCUUAGGUUCUGCUGCAAAAAGCACCAGUGCUGAAGAUGCUGCAAGCACCAAAUCAUAGCUCAUAAAAUCAGGUCCUGAGAUAGUUACCCAUAAAGAGGAAUCCUUUGAGUGUAUGCCAUUGGUGAGCCGAUGAGCAUGGACCAUAGAAGGGCUCAAUGUAGAAGGUAAAAUUGGCAAAUCAUAAUUGAGAAAUAUGAAAUGUAUUCCCAUACAUAAUAUGGUAUAGGGUGUAAUGUACCUGCUUUUGAUCACUUUUCAUUUUAAAGUGCUAUUCACUUGAUCUUAAAUGUUCCAUGAACUGUUAAAUUUCUUAAGUUACAUAGUUACUACACCACAUUUAUGUGUAUGUUAUGUUUUAAUAGUCAAUGAUAGGUAUGUACAAUUGAUAAUAUAAAGGGGCUCAUUGAAACUUGAGAGCCUGUUGAGUUUUGGUUAGUUGUAGAUUGCAUUUUUAUAAAAAAAAAUACAGAUAGAUUGAUGAUAAUAGAUAUUGGGGCAUUGUUUCUGUCUCAUGAGAAUUCUUUUAUUCAUUACCAUAAGCCUUCACUGAUACUAUAAGCAUUAUUUUAAAUGACGCUGAUCUUAAGUCUGAAAUAAAUGGAAAGCAGAAAAGGUGAGCCAGUUGAUUUGAAUGCAUUGGAUAUUAGUGUUAGAAACAAUGUAUAGUUUAGAUUGAAACUGAACUGACUUAUUUAGCACUUAAACAAAAAUUUGACAAUGUUUUUAGUUUUUUUUAAGACAGCUUAGUGUGGU